UGAAGUUAGUAAAGUGGCGCACGGGUGAGUAACGCGUGGGCAAUCUACCCUCGAAUUGGGGAUAACCCGCCGAAAGGCGUGCUAAUACCGAAUGAUAUCUUGAAAAUUCCGGUUUUUAAGAUCAAAGGUGGUCUCUAUAUAUAAGCUACCGUUUGGGGAUGAGCCCGCGUACCAUUAGCUUGUUGGUAGGGUAACGGCCUACCAAGGCUACGAUGGUUAGCUGGUCUGAGAGGAUGAUCAGCCACACUGGAACUGACACACGGUCCAGACUCCUACGGGAGGCAGCAGUGAGGAAUUUUGCGCAAUGGGGGAAACCCUGACGCAGCAACGCCGCGUGAGUGAUGAAGGCUUUCGGGUCGUAAAGCUCUGUCAGGUGGGAAGAAACCACAUGGUGUUAAUACCACCAUGUGCUGACGGUACCACUGAAGGAAGCACCGGCUAACUCCGUGCCAGCAGCCGCGGUAACACGGGGGGUGCAAGCGUUAUUCGGAAUUACUGGGCGUAAAGAGCGCGUAGGCGGUCUCUUAAGUCAGGUGUGAAAGCCCGGGGCUCAACCCCGGAAGUGCACUUGAAACUAUGGGACUUGAGUAUGGG
RNAcentral lists this ribosomal RNA (594 nucleotides) under uncultured bacterium. RNAcentral describes it as "bacterial SSU rRNA". It matches the Rfam family "Bacterial small subunit ribosomal RNA", at positions 82 to 652 of the family's 1533-position model. The record is from RNAcentral.